Molecule: ribosomal RNA, 253 nt
Filed under: uncultured bacterium
Lineage: Bacteria
Description: partial 16S ribosomal RNA
Rfam family: Bacterial small subunit ribosomal RNA
Source: RNAcentral
UACGAACUGUGCGAACGUUAUUCGGAAUCACUGGGCUUACAGGGUGCGUAGGCGGCGACAAAAGUCAGGUGUGAAAGCCCACGGCUCAACCGUGGAACUGCGCUUGAAACUUUGUUGCUUGAGUGGACUAGAGGCAUGCGGAACUUCCGGUGGAGCGGUGAAAUGUGUUGAUAUCGGAAGGAACACCAGAGGCGAAAGCGGCAUGCUGGAGUCUGUCUGACGCUGAGGCACGAAAGCCAGGGGAGCAAACGGG